AUCAACGGAUGAAUGGGAGAAAGAAACCACGUCUAGACGCCAACGGACGAAUAGGAAGGACUCAACCAAACAUCAACGGAUGAAUGGGAGAAAGAAACCACGACUAGACGCCAACGGAUGAAUAUGAAGGACUCAACCAAACAUCAACGGAUGAAUGGGAGAAAGAAACCACGACUAGACGCCAACGGACGAAUAGGAAGGACUCAACCAGACAUCAACGGAUGAAUGGGAGAAAGAAACCACGACUAGACGCCAACGGACGAAUAGGAAGGACUCAACCAGACAUCAACGGAUGAAUGGGAGAAAGAAACCACGACU
Molecule: long non-coding RNA, 318 nt
Filed under: Lathyrus oleraceus (garden pea)
Lineage: Eukaryota; Viridiplantae; Streptophyta; Magnoliopsida; Fabales; Fabaceae
Description: Pisum sativum (pea) long non-coding RNA (PSAT_LNC025979)
Source: RNAcentral